UGGGAGUGAGAAUGUUGGCAUGAGUAGCGAGAUGUGGGUGAGAAUCCCACAGGCCGUAAACCCAAGGUUUCCAGGGGAAGGUUCGUCCGCCCUGGGUUAGUCGGGACCUAAGCUGAGGCCGAAAGGCGUAGGGGAUGGACAACAGGUUGAUAUUCCUGUACUACCGAUAACCGUUUGAGAGAAGGGAUGACACAGUAGGAUAAGCUAAGCACACUGUUGGUUAUGUGUGCCCAAGCAUUGAGGCAGGCAAAGUAGGCAAAUCCGCUUUGAUAAUGCUGGGAUGUGAUGGGGAGCGAAAGUUAGUAGCGAAGUAGCUGAUUUCACACUGUCAAGA
This 334-nucleotide ribosomal RNA is filed under the name Clostridioides difficile. Its description in RNAcentral is "bacterial LSU rRNA". It matches the Rfam family "Bacterial large subunit ribosomal RNA", at positions 1283 to 1613 of the family's 2925-position model. The record is from RNAcentral. Lineage: Bacteria; Bacillati; Bacillota; Clostridia; Peptostreptococcales; Peptostreptococcaceae.